RNAcentral lists this microRNA precursor (86 nucleotides) under Marmota monax (woodchuck). The record is from RNAcentral. Lineage: Eukaryota; Metazoa; Chordata; Mammalia; Rodentia; Sciuridae.
GUGAUCCUGGUAAAUCCAUAUACAUCAGAUCCAUUAUCUAUAAAAUGGGCAUGAUCCUGUAACCUACCCCUAAUGUUGUCUUGGGG